This 543-nucleotide ribosomal RNA is filed under the name Brachionus calyciflorus. RNAcentral's name for it is "SSU rRNA". It matches the Rfam family "Eukaryotic small subunit ribosomal RNA", at positions 34 to 573 of the family's 1831-position model. The record is from RNAcentral. Lineage: Eukaryota; Metazoa; Rotifera; Eurotatoria; Ploima; Brachionidae.
GUCUCAAAGAUUAAGCCAUGCAUGUCUAAGUACAUACCUUUGCACGGUGAAACCGCGAAUGGCUCAUUAAAUCAGUUAUGGUUCCUUAGAUCGUUCAUACUACAUGGAUAACUGUGGUAAUUCUAGAGCUAAUACAUGCAAAAAGCUCCGACCGUAUGGGAAGAGCGCUUUUAUUAGACCAAAACCAAUGGGGUCGCAAGAUCCCUUUGUAUGGUGACUCUGGAUAACUUUGUGCUGAUCGCAUGGCCUCGAGCCGGCGACGUAUCUUUCAAGUGUCUGCCCUAUCAACUUUCGAUGGUAAGCGAUUUGCCUACCAUGGUUGUAACGGGUAACGGGGAAUCAGGGUUCGAUUCCGGAGAGGGAGCAUGAGAAAUGGCUACCACAUCUACGGAAGGCAGCAGGCGCGCAAAUUACCCACUCCUAGAACGGGGAGGUAGUGACGAAAAAUAACAAUACCGGACUCAAUGAGGCUCGGUAAUUGAAAUGAGUACAGUUUAAAACCCUUAACGAGGAUCUAUUGGAGGGCAAGUCUGGUGCCAGCAG